This 253-nucleotide ribosomal RNA is filed under the name uncultured bacterium. RNAcentral's name for it is "partial 16S ribosomal RNA". It matches the Rfam family "Bacterial small subunit ribosomal RNA", at positions 524 to 776 of the family's 1533-position model. The record is from RNAcentral.
UACGUAGGGGGCUAGCGUUGUCCGGAAUCAUUGGGCGUAAAGCGCGUGUAGGCGGCCCGGUAAGUCCGCUGUGAAAGUCGGGGGCUCAACCCUCGGAUGCCGGUGGAUACUGUCGGGCUCGAGUACGGAAGAGGCGAGUGGAAUUCCUGGUGUAGCGGUGAAAUGCGUAGAGAUCCGGAGGAACACCAGUGGCGAAGGCGACACGCUGGGCCGUACCUGACACUGAUGCGCGACAGCAUGGGGAGCAAACAGG